AUGGAUACGUGGCUUCUAUGCUGGGUGAUUCUUAGUGUCCUGAAAGCAGGACACACACAGCCUAAAGUCACCCAGACCCCAAGCCAUCAGGUCAUAGAGAUGGGACAGAGAGUAAUUUUAAGGUGUGAUCCCAUUUCUGGUCACUUAUACUUCUACUGGUACCAACAGAUCUUGGGGCAGAAAGUGGAGUUUUUGUUUUAUAUCUAUAAUGAUAAUAUCUCAGAGAAGUCUGAAAGACACAGUGGCUCAUACAUCACGCUGAAGAUCCAGCCCACAAAGCUGCAGGACUCUGCUGUGUACUUCUGUGCCAGCAGCUAA
Carlito syrichta (Philippine tarsier) is the source of this 318-nucleotide non-coding RNA. The record is from the annotation of a RefSeq genome assembly. Lineage: Eukaryota; Metazoa; Chordata; Mammalia; Primates; Tarsiidae.